Molecule: long non-coding RNA, 719 nt
Filed under: Rattus norvegicus (Norway rat)
Lineage: Eukaryota; Metazoa; Chordata; Mammalia; Rodentia; Muridae
Description: long non-coding RNA NONRATT032417
Source: RNAcentral
CUUAUGCUUACCAAGAGACAUGUUAAUGCAGCCUGCUAAUGUCUUAUAUUGACUACCCAUGUGUUCUUAAUUCCUAACCAAGAUGGUUCAGUGUAGGGUACACAUCUCAAACAUAUUGAAUAAUGAAGAGGAACAGCAACUUUGACCAAGAGGAGACACUUAUUUGUAAUGAUAUGUCACCCUACAAGUCUUCCAUUCAAGUCUGGAGGCACAAAAGAGAAGACUCUCCAUUGUUUCAGAGAGUAAUUGUCUCGAGGUCCGGGUCAACAGAUCUUGACAGCCCUUCCAGAUGCCCACUGGUAACACAACAUGAUGGCAGUUUCUAUAAUCUUACUUCAGCACAGCACUUCUUCCAACAAUGACAGGCUGGCGCCAGCUGAGGCUCAUCUCUCCUUUAUUUUGUCCUUCACAUCCUCUCUGUAUGAUGGCUUUAGGUGUCUACCGGAAGAAAUUACUGCAGCUUUUGCCUUGUGGGGUUCCCCUUCAUUUGCCUACAUUCACAAAUUAUUCUUAAAAAGUAAACUUAUUACAGUAAAAUAUUAACAGUUCUGGCUUCUCCACUGUUAUGAUCCAAACAAAGUUUAUUGGCAGGAGUUGGGCAGAGGAUCAAUGCAAAGUUAUGAAAGAAAAAUGCACAAUGCCUGGUAACACAUCAAAUUAUUUCAACCAGACCAGUCAUUUCAAUACAAUUUGUGAGAUUAGAAACAUCAGAAAGCUUC